CAACAUUGACACUUCAGGUAAUUCCAACACGGUCCAAUUGGUUGCUCCUCUUCCUUUGGUCUUCUUAAAGACCAGUCCUUCAUCUUCGACUUCAUUACCCUCUUCCAGGGCACAAUCAUGGUAAUCUACAGGGUGCUCGACGCUUGAGAAGAAAUCUGAGCAUGGGAACACCUGUCCCUUUUUAGCUAUCGACAUUGUCUUCUUUAAGUCUUGGGAAUUGUAUCCCAAUCCAGAGCGCUUAUUGUUGUUCGGAAG
This 255-nucleotide long non-coding RNA is filed under the name Lathyrus oleraceus (garden pea). RNAcentral describes it as "Pisum sativum (pea) long non-coding RNA (PSAT_LNC006467)". The record is from RNAcentral. Lineage: Eukaryota; Viridiplantae; Streptophyta; Magnoliopsida; Fabales; Fabaceae.